GAUGAACGCUGGCGGCGUGCCUAACACAUGCAAGUCGAACGAACAGACCAUGAGCUUGUGCCUUUGCUGUUAGCGGCGGACGGGUGAGUAACGCGUGGAUCCCCUACUUAUAUUACGGGGAUAAUUACGGGAAACCGGAUAUAAUACCAGAUAACAUGAUGAACCGCAGGGUUCAACGGAGAUACACGGCCUUGCCGGAUCUUAUAGCUGGUUCCGCGCGGGAUUAGCUGGUUGGUAAGGUCACAGCCUAUCAAGGGGACGAUGCGUAGCCGAACUGAGAGGGUGAUCGGCGGCACUGGAAGUGAGCCGCGGUCAAGAGUCCUAGGGGAGGCAGCAGUAGGGAAUGUGCGGCAAUGGGCGAGAGCCUGACGGAGCAGUACCGAGUGGGUGAAGGAGGUCUUCGGGGCGUAAAGCCCUGUUAUUGGGGAAGAACAGAUGUGGAAUUAAACAUGGCGGUCUUGACGGUAACUAAUGAAGAAGCAACGGCUAACUACGUG
This 497-nucleotide ribosomal RNA is filed under the name uncultured bacterium. RNAcentral's name for it is "partial 16S ribosomal RNA". It matches the Rfam family "Bacterial small subunit ribosomal RNA", at positions 28 to 507 of the family's 1533-position model. The record is from RNAcentral.